Molecule: ribosomal RNA, 439 nt
Filed under: uncultured bacterium
Lineage: Bacteria
Description: bacterial SSU rRNA
Rfam family: Bacterial small subunit ribosomal RNA
Source: RNAcentral
AACGCGAAGAACCUUACCUGGGCUCGAACGGCUGCAGAUCGCCGGUGGAAACACUGGUUUUCCCGCAAGGGACUGUAGUCGAGGUGCUGCAUGGCUGUCGUCAGCUCGUGUCGUGAGAUGUUGGGUUAAGUCCCGCAACGAGCGCAACCCUUGCCCUGUGUUGCUAACCGAAAGGUGCACUCUCAGGGGACCGCCAGCGAUAAGUUGGAGGAAGGUGGGGAUGACGUCAAGUCAUCAUGGCCUUUAUGUCCAGGGCUACACACGUGCUACAAUGGGCGGUACAAAGCGCUGCGAACCCGCGAGGGGAAGCUAAUCGCAAAAAACCGCUCUCAGUUCGGAUUGCAGGCUGCAACUCGCCUGCAUGAAGCUGGAAUCGCUAGUAAUGGCAUAUCAGAACGAUGCCGUGAAUACGUUCCCGGGCCUUGUACACACCGACAUA